RNAcentral lists this unclassified non-coding RNA (317 nucleotides) under rhizosphere metagenome. RNAcentral describes it as "partial ribosomal RNA internal transcribed spacer region". The record is from RNAcentral.
AUGAAUCCAUGUAAAAACCAUUGUGCAUUGUCACCCCCUCGUCGAUCGUGCGGUUUGGGAACGAAAGAAACGUUUUAACGGUCACUAUUGUAAUUUGAAGACCCAGUUUCUUUUUAGGCUGUCGCCGAGCUUUAGCGAGCGAGAUGACAGCCACCCAAACAAAUUUAUAUCGUCGAGUGUAAUUCGAAUUACAUACUAUUGAUUAACAAUUGAAACCCCCUUUGAUAAAUUGAACUAAUGUUUUCAUACUCCAAUAAAACGGAGAUGAAUUUCUUACGAAACAAAGAACAACUCUUAGCAACGGAUAUCUUGGUUCU